UACGUCCAUAGCGCGUUGAAACACCGGUUCCUGUACGAUCAUCGAUGUUACGCAAUGUUAAGGCUGCUUAAUAUCUAAAUGGGUGACCGCUAGGGAAUACCAGGUGCUGUAAG
Non-coding RNA from Acanthosepion pharaonis, 113 nucleotides. The record is from the annotation of a GenBank genome assembly. NCBI's taxonomy places the organism in Eukaryota, Metazoa, Mollusca, Cephalopoda, Sepiida, Sepiidae.